ACUCAACACUAUUUCAAUUAGAAAGGGUGAGUUUAGGUUGUAAAAGCACGCCUUCUCGAAAGGAUCCUUGAUCAGCCUGGUAGCCCUAAACCUGUUUAUAGGAGUUU
This 107-nucleotide small RNA is filed under the name Robiginitalea myxolifaciens. Its description in RNAcentral is "6S-Flavo RNA". It matches the Rfam family "6S-Flavo RNA". The record is from Rfam by way of RNAcentral. Lineage: Bacteria; Pseudomonadati; Bacteroidota; Flavobacteriia; Flavobacteriales; Flavobacteriaceae.